This 248-nucleotide ribosomal RNA is filed under the name uncultured bacterium. RNAcentral describes it as "partial 16S ribosomal RNA". It matches the Rfam family "Bacterial small subunit ribosomal RNA", at positions 505 to 753 of the family's 1533-position model. The record is from RNAcentral.
GUGCCAGCAGCUGCGGUAAUACGAAGGGGGCUAGCGUUGUUCGGAAUUACUGGGCGUAAAGCGCACGUAGGCGGAUUGUUAAGUGAGGGUGAAAUCCCGGGGCUCAACCCCGGAACUGCCUUUCAUACUGGCAAUCUCGAGUCCGAGAGAGGUGAGUGGAAUUCCGAGUGUAGAGGUGAAAUUCGUAGAUAUUCGGAGGAACACCAGUGGCGAAGGCGGCUCACUGGCUCGGUACUGACGCUGAGGUG